Helianthus annuus (common sunflower) is the source of this 1578-nucleotide long non-coding RNA. RefSeq lists it as uncharacterized. The record is from RefSeq and is a predicted model, not a curated record. The transcript is spliced from 6 exons. Lineage: Eukaryota; Viridiplantae; Streptophyta; Magnoliopsida; Asterales; Asteraceae.
UUUUUUUUUUUUUUUUUUUGAAGUUUCUAGCAAAGCUGUACUGAAUAUAUAUCAAUUUUACAUUUAUGUUUCAGGUACAUAUACUUAAAUUUGAUGUGUACGACGGAGGAUGGGGCUUCAAUUAUUUUAAUGAGAUUACAUGAAGAAAGAAAGAUUCAAAAGGGCUUCACAUGAAAGAAAAAUACAGAUUUAAAGCAGAAUAAUGUGGGACAGAAAGAAAGAAGAAACCGGGGAGUCUUAGGUAAUAUCGGCAAUCUUGCUCCAACCAUUGUUGUCGAAACUGGAAAACCGACUCAUAUAUGUCGCCCCAUCACAAGAAAUUAUUGUGCCCAAUUGGCUGCAAAUGCACAAGGAGCAGCAGGCAAGAAUGUUAAGGUAGCAAAGGAUGAAGGGUUUGAGCUGCCAUACAGUUAUGAAGAAGCUUCUCAAAGAACCUAAAUUCUCAUUCUACCCUUUGACUAUUAAUUCCAUGCUCUGGCGUUGGAAGCCAUGUUCCAGCUUAGCAGUGAUACGAUCUUAGAUCUACAGGCGACUGAAUAGGCUAAUAAUGUGAUGCUAAAGGCCUAGAAGAAACACGAACUCGGUUUUUCCGUUCCCAAAUAAUCACGAGGAAAGAAAAACCGUAUUCGAAAGAAAGUGUCGAAGACGGGAGGAUAUCCAAACAAUCUGCAAUUUUUACGGAACCAAUUGUGCGACCAAAGAUGUUCGACGGCGUGUUACUUUGCGUUGAAGGCUAUAGCUGGUAUGUGUCGUUCAAUGACAUGUCUGACGUAGGUAAGGGUCGCGGUAAAAAAGGUGUAAACAAGGAUGUGGUGGAGUUGCGAAUGCUCUUGACGCUUUGUGCACAAGCCGUUGCGGCUAAUGACCAAAGGGGUGCAUUCGAUCUACUAAAUCAGGUAUGAAAACACGCCAGACACCAGGCGCCACCUCAGCUGCUUUUGAUAUGAAAACUCCAGCAAUUUCUAACAUGUCGUUGUCACACGAGGUUAACAUUUGAUAUUUUAUUAUUAAGUUAUAUGUCACAAGUUAUAAUAAUAUCAUGGUGCUCCUCUGAAGCUCGAUGGCUAACAACAAAUUACAUAAUAACACUAUAUUAGUCCAUAUAAAACAAGCACUUAAAGAUGAUUAGUAACACUAUAUUAGUCCAUAUAAAACAAUUGAUUGCAUUUUUUUUUUAUCUAUUUUAUUUUAAAUUUUAGUUCUGCAAAUGACAAUGGAGGAUGGCUUCAAGAACUUGAUGGCGACGGAAGAACUCCACGGUGAUGGCAGUUAGGGUGAAGAGGAUGGCUUCAAGAAUUGGUCUACUUUGCUAUGUUACUAAUUGUUCACUGUAGGUUGUUGGUUGUAGUGGUUCUGCAUUGUUGGUGCCAUUGUAAAGGGGACCAUACAAUGCUCAAUUUUUGGUGGAUUUUAUAUAAUAAAUAGCUGAACCUCAAUAUUAGAAAAAAAAGUAUUGUUUUGUGUUGUCUUAUUGUAGUCAUGGCUUUUGGUUGGUGUUAAUUGUAUAUUAAAAGACUAUUUUUAUACUUUUUUGGUUCUUUUUUGUAAAAGAGGCUCGAUUUACUCAAAAAAAGGUUU